UCGAGAAUCUUCCGCAAUGGACGAAAGUCUGACGGAGCGAUGCCGCGUGCGGGAUGAAGGCCCUUGGGUUGUAAACCGCUGUCAGAGGGGAUGAAAUCUCCGGAGGUUCUCCUCCGGAGUUGACAGAGCCUCAGAGGAAGCACGGGCUAAGUAUGUGCCAGCAGCCGCGGUAAUACAUACUGUGCGAACGUUAUUCGGAAUCACUGGGCUUAAAGGGUGCGUAGGCGGCGAUUCAAGUCAGAUGUGAAAUGCCUGAGCUCAACUGAGGCAUUGCGUUUGAAACUGGAUUGCUGGAGUGUCCCAGGGGUGUGCGGAACUGCCAGUGGAGCGGUGAAAUGUGUUGAUAUUGGCAGGAACACCGGAGGCGAAAGCGGCACACUGGGGGAUAACUGACGCUGAG
This 400-nucleotide ribosomal RNA is filed under the name uncultured bacterium. RNAcentral's name for it is "bacterial SSU rRNA". It matches the Rfam family "Bacterial small subunit ribosomal RNA", at positions 355 to 750 of the family's 1533-position model. The record is from RNAcentral.